AAAAGCAUUACAGCAUGAUUUUUUUGAGUCUGUGCUGAGGAUCAAACUCACUACCUCGCACUUGCCAGGGAAGCACUUACACUACUGUGCUAAAGCCCUGGACUACAGGGUGAUUCUUUAGAUGGGGUAAGAAAAUAAAAACAGGAGGGGGCUGGGGAUUUAGCUCAGUGGCAUAAGCACCUGCCUUGCAAGCAGGCAGUCAUGAGUUUGAUCCCCAGCACCGAAAAAAAGACAGAAGAAAAAAAGAAAAGAAAAGAAAAACAGGGCACAUUUGGUGUGAGGAGGAUAUAGACAAAGUCAGUAGAUAAAAUCUGAGGUAUAUAAAAGGAAGACAGUGAGGAGAAAUUAGUGGUUGGUAUAAGGAUUGCAUCACCAUCCCUGGAGAAAGAAUUUAAAACAAGGCAUGGCAGAGCCAGCAAUUGGCAGGGCUGCUAAUAGAAUGACAAUGUUGAUCCUCCAUGAAUUGAGGCUUGUGUGGUUAGGAUCAGAGAAGUCUAAAAAGGGGAGCACAAGAAGUGGGGGUCAUUUCAUUGGCCUGGUCCAGGUACUUGGGUGUACUGUGCAUCUCUGUAGUCAUCUCUUUCUGGUCCUGGUUGUCUGAUUCUGAUGAACUUGAUCAAGAAUCAGAGACAGAGUAAGAAGUCCACUUGAGCAGGUAAGUCAAGAGCUGCUGCUUCUUUUUUUUUUUAUAAAGAGAAAUAUGAAUCUACAAGUCUGUGCCCUUUGGUUUAACUUAACAUGGGAUAGUUAAGGAUGCCCACUGAGGUCCCUGCAGUCCACUAAAAGUCUUUGAGCUAGUAUCUUGUCCAACAACCUCAGAGCUUUAUGGGGAUGACCUUUAUCUCCCUGCUGCUGAAGGGGCCUUUCGCAAAGCUAGUGUUAUGUUAUAGGAUGUUGAUGAGCUGCUUGUACUGUCUGUAUUAGUCAGCUUUCCAUUGCUGUAACAAAUGCCUGAUAUUAAUCAAUUUAAAAAGAGGAAAGGUUUAUUUGGGCUCACAGUUUCAGAGGUUUCAGUCUGUGUUCGGUUGACUUCAUUGCUUUUGGAUCUGGACAAGGCAAAGCAUCAUGCUAAGAGCACAUGGUAGAACAAUGGCGCUCACCUCAUGGGAGGCAGAAACCGAGAAGAAAAAGGCCAAGGGCCAGGUCCAGUGUCCUCCCAAGGGCAGGCCACAGGGACCUAACUUCCUUCUGUCAGGUCCCAUCGCCUGAUGAUUCUGUCAUCUCUCAAUAGUGCCGCAGCACACCUGUAGCACACAGGUCUUUGCAGGGCAUUACCAGUCCAAAUUAAAGCAGGCUUCCUUCACGAGCACACACUGGGGAAGUCCUCUCUCCUGGCACAUCAGGUCAGUAAGGAUCUCAAAAGAGUGUGACUUACAUUUUCCCGCGGAAGUGAAACAAAGAUUGAGAGCAACUAAGGGAAGGGCGUGGGCCUAUGAGAACUAAAUGGUGUGCACAUUUUUGCCAGCUGAAUUUUCAUGGAAUCCGGGGUUUGUUCUAAUAGCUUAGAGAACUGGGAUGACAGACAGUGGAAAUACCAAUACACGUUGGCCAGGUUUAACAAAUGCUUUGAACAAUUUGCCCUACAAAAUAAGUCCCUCUAUCACUAUGAAGUUCUUGGGGAAACUCCUCGGCUUGCUAUCAUUUUUUCUGUUAUGACCUUGCCUGCAGCAAGAGGAGAACUCCAACCCAAUGUUGACCAAAAUGUAUUAAUAUCCUUGCGAGGCAUCAGGGCAAUUCCUAGAGUCACACUGGGUGCAUAUUUUUGAGAGUCAGUACACUGGAUGAACAGCGGUGAGUAAGUGUCUCCAAUAAUAUUGCUCUCCCUGUUGGGCUAUCUUGUCAGUCUUCCAGUGAGUUAGUCUAAUAAAAGCCAAAAAUGCCCUCUUCCUCCCCCCAAAGGAUAAUCUUUCCUUUUGCAGACUUGUUGAGAGGACCAAUACCAAUUUGGGCCCACCCAAAUACAUUCUUUUAUAAAACGAAUGGUCUUGUUUCUCCGAAGUCUCCUUUGAGCCAUGGAAGUAGUUUGGGGCUUUAUUAGCAUUUUAAAGAUAACUACAGGGCUGGGGAUAUAGCUCAGUGGCACGGCACCUGCCUAGCAAGCACAAGGUCCUGAGUUUGAUUUGGACUUCUGAUAUCAGACAGAGAGAGAGAGAGAGAGAGAACUACAGCCUGUGGAGCUGAAGAAUAUCCAAAGAAAAGGACAUAGUUUUUUUCAUUUUUAAUUAUUGUUCCAAGGAAGUUAAAAAUGUUCUCUGCUUUCGGAGCACACCAAAUUCCCCCAAAGACACACAGGCUGCAUGAAGGCUGACUCUCAUGAAGGCAUGAAGUACACAGCUGGCAUCAGGAGGGGACCCAGACCCCAUCAUGUCAUGGAGAGAGACUGCAGCACCUCCAGCUUGCUCCUGACUGCCAGAUUGUCUAAGACAAGAUUCUCGUGUGAAGCAGUUGUAGCCUGGCAGACAAGGAGCGUUCUAGUAGGUCUAGCCAAGGGGGUGAAGAAUUGAUGAGGGAAAGCAGUUCAGCUGUAAGGAAGAUCAUCAUCUGGAAGAGGAAGCAGAGUGGCUGAGUUGAACAAUAUUAUGGUUUAGAUAUUCAAUGUCUGCCGAAGGCUUGGUCCCUGGCUUGUGUUAUUACUGGGAAUAGGGGAACCUUUAGGCAGUCAGAUGCAGUGGGAAGAAGUUAGGUCACUGGAAGCCUGCCUUUGAAGGGAAUUCUGAGAACCUGACCUCUUCUUCUUCUCUUUGCUUUCUGGCUGCCAUGAAAUGAACAGCCCUUCCCCACCAUGCACUCCCAUCACAAUGUCCUGUGCUACCACAAGCCCAGAGCAACAGGACCAAAUGAUUAUGGGCUAAAACUACUGAAACUGUGAGUCAAAAUAAACCUUCCUUUCUUUUAAAUUGCUUAUCUGAGGUAUUUUUGUCACAGCAAUGAAAAUCUGACUAACACAAUCUGCAAAACAAUUUUAGUCUGUGUUAGACAAUGGGGUUUCUUAUAGACCACAUUAGGAGGUGAGAAAUAGACCAGUCAAGGUUCUACAGUCACAUGGGAAGUCAUCAUCUGAGAAAGGAAGCAGAGUAGCAGAGUUGAGCAGAAUACAACAGGUGCCCGUGAGUUAAAAUAAGGAGAGAAGGGGAUCUCAUCAUCAGGCAACUAGCAGAGAGUAUUGGGCAUUGUGGAGUUAGGGACGCAGAUGGUGGGAAAAGGAACUCACAGCAAUCUUUUCAGUAGCUUUAGCGAGAACAGAGGAGGUAGUAACUGUCUUCAGAAGAAGACGGAGGUGAUCCUUGGAACACUGGGGCUGAUUGCUGGUUCUGGUCCCCUGCUGGCCCAUUCUGUCCUCCAUGGGGUUACAGUAGGACACCUGAAUCAGUUCCUUCCCAUUCGCGAAUAAAUAGAAAGGGAGCUUGUAAUUGGGGUGUCCCAAAGUGGAGGCUGAGGUCAUUUGGUUGUUUUAUCCUCAAAGAAUUGUUUUCUGUGGAAUAGCAUCAGGAGGGAAUGUUUGUUUGUUUGUUUGUGUUUUGUUUUAUGGUACUGAGGAUCAAACUUUUGACCUCGCGCUUGCCAGGCAGGCACUUGUGCCACUGAGCUAAACCCCUGGCUCAAGGAGAGGAAUUUUUUAGUAAUUUGUCAAAGGGCUGGGACAUAAAAGAAAAAUUUGGUAGACAGCUCCAGCAGUAACCUCCAAGUCAUAAAAACACUUAGAGCUGUCUUUUAUUGUGAGGAAGAGGAAAAUCUCAAAUGCUUUGAAGUGAGGAAGGGUCCAAAUCAAACCUCUGGUAUUCAGAGAUGACUCAGGAAUUUGAUGUAAGUCUGACAGAAGUGUUUCUUUUGACACUUUAUUAUGCUCAGUAGAGGACAGACCGUAGAGCAAGUAGAUCCUGCCAAGUCUGGGGCUGGGGGACAUAAAAACAAGUCAUCUACAUAUCAAAGAAGGUGAACCAUAUUGGAAGGAGCUGUCAGCUAAAAUCCAAAGAAUGUGAGACUAAAGGGUAGGGCUUUCAGUUUUGCCUUAGUUUCCUCAUUGGUGAGAUGCAAUACCUGACACCCACCAUUUAGAGGAGGAAAGGUCUAUUUGGCUCACAGUUUGUAGAGGUUUCAGUAUACAGCUGGCUGGCUCCAAAGCAAGGGGACAUGGCAGAGGUGAUUUGCUUAUGGCAGGGUGGUGAGAAGCAGAAACACAGACCAAGGGAGGAGAAGGGAGAUGUAUCUUCCAGGCCACACCCACGGUGACCCAUCUCUUCCCACCAGGUUUCCCCUCCAACAUCACACUCAGCCAUAACCUUACUGGCCUCCUAACUCACACUCAUGAGCCAGUCACCUCCCAAAGCUCCACAUACAGGUGCAUGAGACUUUGUGAGGGACCAUCUUGAUGCAAACCGUAACAAGUGCACACUUGGGAAAGAACUUUCUAGGUGUAUUGUUUACCAUUCCAGGUAAAAGCAGAGAGGUUGUUGGUCGGGGUGUGCUGGUUUACUGAAAAAAGUGCUACAGAAAUCAACAGCUGAAGAGCACUAGCUCUUGGGGAGAACACUGCACAGCAAGAAAAUUCAACAAAGGAUGUAUGGAGACUGACAGAGGAAGAAACCGACACUUUCCACGAAAGGGCCUAAUUGGAAAGAGGAUCAUUGGUCAGCAGGGAGGCUGCUCCUGAGGAAUGUUUCUCUGCCCAGUGGCAAUCGUGAUUCAGUAGGAUACUGAGAGCCUCAGAAGUCUCCCCAUAAAGACAGCAUUAGAGGUCUCCUCAUUCAAUUCCAAGAGUUCUGUUGAAAAGUUUGUUCACAUCUACCAAAGUAAUCGUGGUUGACUAUUCUUUCUUGAAUCAGUGGCGCACGGCUUCCCAGUUCCCCCAGUAGGGAAAUCAAAGGAAUGGGCAACUCAAGUUCUCCAGGUCCAGAGACUUAGCAGUUACAGCGUCCUGAUCCUACCCUUCCGUCACAGAACCAGGUGGAGAGCCAGAGGCGCUGCCUAGCCUGGUUUCCUUUCUGCAGGAAUUUGCAGCUGUAUGCCACCACACCCUGUUAGGCAAAGGCACUUUAAUGACCUAAGGUCACUGGAUUUUUAAGUUCAUUCUGAUGACUCAUCUAAUUGAGGCUUUAGGGUAAUCCUUCUAAAAAUACUGCCAACCUCCCCAAAGUGAGACUUUUUAAAUGACAGGAGGUUUGCUAGGUGCCUGUCACACUGCCUCUGCCCUCCCUGAUGGCUGUAGCCACCAGGACACAGGGAGGACGGGGAGAGGCCUCAGCAUCAGCUGCAAGUACAGGAAGUAGGUGGCACAAACACUGCACCCACAAAGUCAAUCUUUACCACAAGACGCUGGCUGAAACUUAAGGUACUCAGAUCUGUUUCCUCAAACUUACACUUCUAAUAUUAAAAGUAAAAAACUUGUUAAAACUUUUCAUUUUUUUCCAACUUUGAUAUUAUUCAAUUUCUGGCAAUAUAAUAAGCAACGUCCUAGCUCAAUCACUAUUCACUAGAAAGAAUCAAUUUUAUGUAAGCAGGUAAGUCGUAUUGUAAUAGAGUAACCCAUCUAGUUAAGGAGGGGGGAAAAAGGCCAGAUGUGGUGGCACACACCUGUAAUCCUGGGAAUGUGGGAGGCUAAGACAGGAGGGUCUUAAACUGAGCCCAGCCUGGGGAAUUUUAUGACUUAGCUCGAGAUUCUGUCUGAAAAUAAAAAUAAAAAUAAAAAAGGCCUGGGGAUUAGCUGAGCGCAGAGGCCCUGCUUUCAUUUCCCAGGGCUGGGGAAAAAACAAAAAAGAAGAGGACAGAAAAAAACAAAGGGACUUUGCCAUUCUUUAAAUCAAUUUGCUUAGUUAUUGAAGAAAUUUUAAAAUUAUUGGAAAAAAAUCAACUUGCAGGCUGCAUUGUGUGACAUUUGUUGAUAUUAUCCUGACGGCAUUAGGUGACUGCCAUGGCAACCUUAAUUUAAUCCUCCAUUAGUGCCUUGGAACACUAGGCACCCCAGCAGGCGAGGAGGGUGACUCAGCGGGCAGGCGGGCGCCCUGGCCCUGUGACUCAGGGCACACACCUCGCUCGGCCUGGCUACUGGCACCGUCGGAUGACACAUGAAACACAGCCACUGCGUGACCCUGACAGUUUCCACAAGAGCUAAGGGCUGGCUCUGGAAGCAGCUAGGUAAUAAGGGCUGACAGCCUACAUCUAAUUAAAUCAUUUCAAAAGCUGAGCCUGGCAUGGCAACCUUCUGCGGAACUAUCCAGGCUUCCACAUGGUGACUUACCGGAAGAAGCGUCCUGGUAUUACACAACAUGCAUGGAGUACUGGAAGAAUGGCCAACAUCUACAGUACCGGCGUUAAGAAGAAUUGUGCUUCGACUGGAUCUUCCUUUCCUCCUCCCCUAAAGAUGGGACCCACUGCUGUGGCCUUUGCUGGUUCUCUCCGUGCUUGGGACCCAGCCUGAGGUGCAGCUGGCUCUGCCACUGCCCCUGACAAGACCCUUCUGCUGUGGUCUCCUCAGCCAAUGUAUGUCUUUUGAUUUUGAAGUUUAAUUCAUUUGUACUUAAUUAAUUACUGAUUAGAAAAAGGCUUGGCAUUGCCAGUUCACUGCUUUCUAUAUGUCUUGUAGCUUUUUUAGUUCAUCCUUUCCUCUUACUGCCUUACUUUGGGUUUUGUUCUUUAUUUAUAGUAAAAUACCUCGAUUCCCUUCUUAUUUCUUUUUGGUACAUUCUAUAUAGUUUUUCUUUUGGUUUCCAAUAGAAACAGAAAAUGUCUUGAGGUUACAAUAUUAAAUUUUAUUUUAUUUUAUUUUUGGUUUUUUGAACCAGGGAAUCACUAUGUAGUUGAGAAUGGCAUUGAACUCACUAUUUAGCCCAGGGUGGCCUCAAACUCAUAACAGUUCUCCUGCCUCAGCCUCCUGAGUGCUAGAAUUAUAGGCAUGUGCCACCAUGCCUGGCUAUAACAUUAAAUUUGUAAUCAAUAACACUUUGGACUCCAUAUAAAAACUCAUACCAAGUGGAGGACUGAGACAGGAAGAUCAAGAAUUCAAGUCCAGCCUGGACUAUACAGUGAGACCCUAUCUCCAAAACAGUACAAAACAAAACAAAACUCUACCCCUUUACUGCUAAAUAUCUACUCACGUUAUCUAUGUUCUGAAUUAUAUUUUUUACAUAUUAUAUAACCAUAAAUGUGCAUGUUAUAAAUAUUUUUGUAUUUAAUUUCUGUGUACCAAAAUAAGGGGAGGCCAAAAUGGCAGAGUAGUGAUCAACAGCAAAAUACAGCUUUUCCAGGACCUGAAAUUUGGACAUCUGGAAAAUAACAACUUGAUGUAGAGAAAAAAAGUAGGCAACUGAAAGUUGGAAGGGAACUCACAGGAAAAUUAGGAACUACAGAGAAGCUGGAGAAUUGAAGCACAGGCAAAGAAAAGAAAAAAACCAGUCUGGAAGCUCACUCUGGCUCCUAGGGAGGGGAACUGGUCUCUGUAGAUGCAGGGUAAGGCCCCGAGGUUGGGAGCUCCUGGAGAAACAGCAGAGCAGCCCAAUAACAGCAGCCCCAAGAAAUUUUCGCGCACGGCUAUUGUAAGCUACAAAAGCAUGCGGAGUUUUACUCCAAGAUUGACUCUUUCUACAUGGCAGGCAGAGGUGGAAAAAACCAGCACCUCACCUGUGAUACUGCCAGAGAGUGUAGGUCGGGCACCAUUCACAGGUCAGGAGUCUGAUUGCUUUUCCCAUCUACCGACCUGAAGACAGACAUGCUUCUGCUGUGACAGUUGCCAGAGGCUGUGGCGAAUGGACAGAGGGGCCUUUGGACAGGGUGUGUCACCCCACAGAUCACAGGCCGUAACUCUAGGCAGAGAAAAUCACAGCUUGCUGGACUCCAAAACUGCAGAUCCUGAAAACAAACCACUCAUUCAAAAAUACAGAGAAAAGUAUGUUUUUCAUCUUUUUUUUGUAGCGGGGAUCAAACUCACAACCACAUGCUUGCAAGGCAGGCAUUUAUGCUGCUGAGCUAAAUCCCCAGCUCAGAGAAAAGUAUUGACUCAUUCCUUUGUUUCUAUCAUUUUUCCUCUUUCUUCUUCAUUGGUUUCAUGGCGUUCAAAUUUUUAUCCUUUUUUGCAUUUAUUAUUUAUUUUGGGGGCAGUUAGGAAUUGAAGCCAGGACCUCACGUAUGCUAGGCAAAUGCUCCGCCACUCAGUUACAUUUCCAGCUCUCUUUCAUUUUUAUGCCUGUUUUUCUUCUUUUUCUUAUUUGCUCUUUUUCUGUGACCUUUAUCUAAUUCUAAGUCCCUUUUAUUCCUUAAUAGAAUCCUUUAUCUCACUUUUAUCUCUUCGUUUUCAUCUUCCAUUGCCUAAUUUUUCACGUUUUUCCUCCUUCAUCCUCCCUUUCUGCACCCCAUCUUUACUAUUAUAACUGUGAAGCUUUGUAAAUCUAAUCUCAGUUAUCCAGUCUAUUACGGUUGAGCUAUUUUAUAUCACUAGCGGAAGUCAAUUUAUUGCUUUGAGUGUCGAUUCCAGUUUAUCUUAGUGUCUAAACUGUAAUUACAGAUCUCUUGUCUAUCAUUAAAGGUGAUGCGUUAUUGA
Cavia porcellus (domestic guinea pig) is the source of this 8530-nucleotide long non-coding RNA. RefSeq lists it as uncharacterized. The record is from RefSeq and is a predicted model, not a curated record. Lineage: Eukaryota; Metazoa; Chordata; Mammalia; Rodentia; Caviidae. The transcript has 5 exons.